This is a long non-coding RNA of Oreochromis niloticus (Nile tilapia), 1788 nucleotides long. RefSeq lists it as uncharacterized. The record is from RefSeq and is a predicted model, not a curated record. Lineage: Eukaryota; Metazoa; Chordata; Actinopteri; Cichliformes; Cichlidae. The transcript has 4 exons.
GUAAAUGUAACCUACGUUGUUGGAGAGAGAAAUAACAUCAUGGAAGAGACAUAAAAGCUGGCAAAAGCUGACGACUGUCCUUAAGCCAUUCAGGUUUGUGACUGAGCUUUUUGGAGGUGAGACAUGUGUCUCAUGUUCAGUGGUUUUACCUGCUUACUGCCACCUGCAUCACACCAUGGAGGUCUCCAAUGAUGACUCAGACUACAUGGUGAAAUUUAAGACUGCCUUUACAAAGAACCUAUCCCAACAUGUAGCUACACUCAACCAUCAGUGGCUCAAGAUAGCUACUGUGCUUGACCCACACUUUAAGAAUUUAAAGUGUCUUGCAAGGGGAGAGUGAGAAGAGGUUUGGACCAGCCUUGAGGUUGCUGCAGGAACAGUGUAAAGAUGCCACCACAAAGGAGCCAGCAAAGACAAAGAGCCUCCUCCUCUCUUCAUUGUCUUCAGACUCUGAUUCAGAUGAGGAAGCCCUGUGUAACAGGGCCCUGAGCAGAAUCCACCAUCAGCGAUAAAGACUGCCCACUGCAGUCUAAUACAAUUAUCAUUGUUGUUUGUCGAAUCCUAAUGGCAACUGUAGUGUGUAAUCAGUUGCUGCAGAAGCCUGCCUCUCCUUGAGCCUGAGUCUGUUUUAUACUCUCGGGCUUUCCUCCUGAACUACUCCCCCCAGUCUCUGCUUUUCAAUCCAGUACCAGGGCAAUUAGAUAGUCACUCACCCUACAUGUAUCAAGUAUCUAGUAUCAAGACUUUCUUGGCCCUCACCAAGGUUCAUUUUUAGCUGCUUCCUGUGUGCUCUGUUUUCUGGUCAACCAUUUGCAUACAUAUUCUAUGGACCAAAGUUGAACAUCUGUGAUAAGUGCUGUAAAACUACUUUUCUAGAUUUAUAAAAAGCCCAGCCAACCUACUUUCACACCCUUGUUUUGUUUGUGUAUACUGAAAUCUAAGCUAAUGGCUGAACAUGAUAUCUCAACCUCUAGAAGAUGAAAGCCUCAAGUUCUCACAGUUUUUUCCUGACCAUCAAAAUAAAUGUAGACCUAUAAAUGUCUGAGUAUUGACUAGUAUGUAACAAAACAAAACAAAACAAAACAAAACAAAACAAAAAAAACCACCAACUUCACACCACCCAAAGAAGUUCAAUAUUUGAGAACACUAAUACAAAAAUUCACAUUGUAAAAAACAACUAGUGACAGUUUCUGAAUGGUAUCUAGCUAUAUUUCACAAUAAUGCAAAAGCAUGUAGAAUACAUGAAAUUUUUAGUCAUAAAAUAAAAAUGCUAUUCUUAUUCACUUUUCAAUUGUCUUGUUAAUAGUAAACACAUCAGAAAUAAAUAUCAAACAGAAGAGAUACAUACAUAGAGGAAUAUAUACAAACUAGAGGAAUAUAUACAAAAGAAGAGAAAGGCACACAAUGGAGAGCAAAGUGCUUGGAAGCAGUGGAAAAGGACUUGGUCUGAUAAUGAGUAAGCUGAAGAGGAAAUGGAUUUGCGCUCAUCUAGAAGAUCUUUGUUUGGCCUGGAGAAAUAGUUUCUUUUACUCUGAAAACAUAGCUGUCUGUAAAGCUAAGACAUCUUCCUAUUCCUAUUAGUUAAAAAGCCCUUACCUGGUCCAGCUGUCUUUGCCAAUUCUCUAACCUUCCUUGCUCAUUAGCAACUUCUUGACUUUAAAUAUAAUAUGCUAGUACUGCAACUUUUGCAUGUGUGUCAAUUUCACGCUUUGGAGAGGCAAACCAUGAAAUGGACACAGUAGACCAGUCUAUUGCAUGCUUUACCAUAUCAUUAAAUUUUGUUUUCCC